RNAcentral lists this long non-coding RNA (1128 nucleotides) under Gadus morhua (Atlantic cod). RNAcentral's name for it is "lncRNA (ENSGMOG00000030788.1)". Lineage: Eukaryota; Metazoa; Chordata; Actinopteri; Gadiformes; Gadidae. The record is from RNAcentral.
CUGAUGACUGUUCUUUGUUUUGCGCAUCCCCAACUUCAGUGGAGCUAUGUGAAAAUCUUCAAGUAGAGUUGCAUAACAUUACCAAUUGGGUGAGAGCUAACAAAUUAGCACUAAACAUUGUCAAAACUAAAUCUAUUAUAUUUGGUAGUAAAAAUCUUCUCGCCAAUGCUCACUGUAAAAACGAAAACUUAAAAUUGUUGGUCUCAUUAUGAUUUCUGAGUAAAAUGAAUAUAAAACAUUAAGUAUUCAUGUCAACUGUGCAAUACAAUUUAGUCCAACCAACAAUGUUGAGUUUUGGGUCAAGAGUUGGCCUCAGUGUAGUAUCUUUGUUAGCAAGACACACAGGUUUAGGUCAGACUCUGUCUGAGGCUGGGCCAACUACGACUCCUACCCCCCGGGGAGUCUGGGUAUUCGUGAUGCCGGUUGGGAAAAAGGGGUUUAUUGCCUUUUGUCAAUUUGUUUCAGAUAGGUUAAGUGGGGUUAACGGGUUUGGAGUCUUUGUUUGUGUGUUGUUUAUUGUGUGUAGUGUUGCUGCCACCGUUACCGAGACUUGCAUGUCCGUUGGUUGGGUGUGCGGUGCGCUGUGUGUUGUUGGUGAGUGUUAAAUAAGGGCAGCUCUCGGGAUCGUGCGGUGUAUGAGGGACGAGAGUUGCGUCACCGUUUAACCUGGGCUCCCGUAUCGUGCAGAACAAGUUUGACCAUAAUGUCGAACUUGUUCUGCACUUUGGUUUGCUGCAUUUAGACAGCGAUUCGCUGCUGCUGAACUAGCUACAUGUUGCUUGUUCUAUUGAUGUCUGGCAUUCAGAAAUGUAAAAUGGAAGUUUCCAAUUAUUAAUUUUAAUAAAGUGAACUUAAAACUAGUUUUGCAUUCUUUGAAAUGUUUUUUUUUUAAUAAUAUUAACCUUGAUUUGAAAUAUUAAGUUAACAACCCUGACUUACUUUUUUGAGUUUUGUAAAAUAUAAAAUCUUAGUUGGUAUAACUAACUUUCAAGUUUGUCUAAAGAAGAAAAAUGACAUUUUGUUGGGCUAGAAACUCAAAAAUGUAUUGCAGUAAGUUGCCUUGCAAUUUUAAGUUUUCUCAACUUUUUAUUUUUUACAGUCUACUGCACUUAAUUUAUAUAUAGAUGG